Molecule: transfer RNA, 130 nt
Organism: Colletotrichum fioriniae PJ7
Lineage: Eukaryota; Fungi; Ascomycota; Sordariomycetes; Glomerellales; Glomerellaceae
Rfam family: tRNA
About the family: Transfer RNA (tRNA) molecules are approximately 80 nucleotides in length. Their secondary structure includes four short double-helical elements and three loops (D, anti-codon, and T loops).
Source: Rfam
GGCCGGUUGGCCCAAUGGCAAGGCGUCUGACUACGAUUCUUUCGACUAUAUCAUGCGGCUUGGGCUGCACGAGGAUAUGUGGGAGUAAAUAGGUAUCAGGAGAUUCUGGGUUCGACCCCCAGGCUGGUCA